Molecule: long non-coding RNA, 1760 nt
Organism: Leptopilina heterotoma
Lineage: Eukaryota; Metazoa; Arthropoda; Insecta; Hymenoptera; Figitidae
Exons: 6
Source: RefSeq, a predicted model, not a curated record
GUGAAACGCCGGGUGACUCGUCUUUGAAUAGCCUCGGUGAGAGCAUUUUUUGAAUCACAUUCGUGAUUUGCUUGUUGUUUUUGUUGCUGUUGCUCGUGAUGAAGAUGCUGUUGCUGUUCCUGCUGUUGUUGCUGAUGAUUAUAGCCUGCGAUCUAAUUUUAAUUGUCGGCCUGUCCCUGCGAAGAUGAUGCCGCUGAUGGGAAUUCUCGCGCGUUAAUGUUCUUGGCGUUGAAACGUCAAUAUCUGCCGUGUCAAUGGUGCGUCGAGGUCGUCUUGCUAUCGUGACUGGUGAAUAUCUUCGCAAAUUACUUAACGGCGAUUCGGAGAUGGUCGAUAGAUGAGGAGAAAAUCUCGCCAGUGGAACGUUAAAGGGAUUAGAGGCUUACCGCCCGGUGCCUGUCAUCAAGGAACUGUGAUUGGCGAAGGAAUUCCCAUAAUAAUAUGAGCUUCCGUCUCCGUAAUAAGGCAUUUUUGAGCUCCUCGUCUCUUGGUGAUUGGAAAUCCACCGCCAAUAUUUUCAGCUGGUGGAGGUGACGCCGAGGCUUCCGCGACCCUCCUUGGUACACGUGUUUUGUAAACAUAAGUUUUCGUCGAUGAACUCGGUGGAAGAUCCGCAGGAUUAAAAGGAGUUGGAGUCCUUGUUCUGUGAAAAUGACAAACAAAAUAUUAUUUUUCUACUCAAUAAAUCAGAGAGGAGAGGAUGUAAUGGAAAUAUUACUCAAUAUAACGGAAUUAUAAUUGAAGAAAAUCAGAUUUAAAGGAGUUGUUGCGGUUGUUUGAAAGGUGCACAAAUGUCGACAAUUUUCCAAGAAGCUGUUAGGAAAAAUUUUUAACGAUCUAAAGUUUGAAAGAAAAACGUUUGGCACCGAGUACAACAAAAUUUGAUGAGUAUGAUUCGACAUAUUCCUUCAAUAUCAAAGGACGUCUUUUGCAUUUUAACAAAAAAUGGGUCAAACGCAAUUUAGAAAUUAAUUUUCUUAAAAACCGAGAAAUGAAAAAACAUCCCAAUAAUUGAAUUUAGAAUUGGAAUUUAAAAUUGAAAUUUUUUACGAAAUAUUGUUUAAGAAAACUAAAAUAGAGAAAUACUAUCGACAAAAGCACAAAUUACAAAGAAAAAUAAAAAAGAAGAAGUAGAAACGUCACUUAACACAAGAGAAAUAAUUCACUUCGCAGAAAUUACAUAUAUUUUUAAAAUGUCGCUGCUUUCCACAAAAUUUUGAUGCAUUUCAGAAUCAUAAAAGAAGUAACUAUGAUUCAUCGGUGAAUGAAUUUGGCGAUUAUUUCUAAAUUUCGACAGUAAAAUUAUUAAAUAUAUAUCGACAAAUUAUUUUCUUGAUAAAUUCAAAUAAAAUUCAUGAAUAUAAAAAUGUAAAUAAAAAAGUACUUGGGGAAUAAAAUUUUGACGCCUGAAUCGUUUUGUAAGUAUGCACGAGACUCCCGUGUCUAUAAAUAUCAGCCUGUUGAAUACCGCCCGCCAUAGGGAUAUAAUAAACGAAAGAAGCGACAUCUCAAAGGUAUAAUUUCAUUCCGAAAAAAGCUUCCAAUAUCUUAAUAUAUAUAUUGAAGAAAAUUUUCAAUUUCAUUUUUUUGGUAAAUAAAAAUCUGUAACAAAAACAGUAAUUAAAAAUUUGAAAUCAGAAAAUAUUCGUUUCUAAUUUUAUCUUUUCUUUCCUGAAAACAAUUAUGAGAGUAAUUAGAAAAAAAUUAUAAGAAUAAUAAUUAUAAUAUUGAAUAGAAUCUAGAAUAAUAAUUAAUAUAAU